Molecule: long non-coding RNA, 8500 nt
Filed under: Gallus gallus (chicken)
Lineage: Eukaryota; Metazoa; Chordata; Aves; Galliformes; Phasianidae
Source: RNAcentral
CCCGGGGGCUCCAGCGCUCGGUGUCAACGUAUCAUUGUCCGUGCGGAACCCCUCCGGGCCCCCCCCCUCCCGCCCCCCGGUCCGCCCUCCCCCCGCCCCGCCCCCCCACCGAACCACCUCAAUGAGAUGCAAACAUGAAAGACAAGAGGAAGAAGAAGGACCGCACCUGGGCCGAGGCUGCCCGCCUGAACUGCAAAAGAGGCUGCUGAGAUCGUGGAGGCUGAUAUACACACACAACAGUUGGGAAAUUCUUCUGAAAGAGCUGCAAAGAGAUUGAGAGGUGUCUUUUUCUAUUUAAUAUAAUCACUGCACCUGUUUGCUGUUAUCAACAGUCUGAGAGCUGUUAUGGCAAGAAGUUUCAUGUGUUAGUUAAAGUGUUGUUAAAUGUUGGAAUUAAUUUUAGUGAACAAUUUCAGAGUGGCAGAAGAGGGAUCUGGGGAAAGCAUUCUGAGGAUUAAUGUUCUGAAAUAAAUGAUUUUUAUUUAAAAGCUGCAAACAUACAUAAUAAUAGUUAUAAUGCUUGUUGCUUUUAGUACUCACAUACAUUUUCUGGGAUUAGUAGAAGAAAAUGAAACUGAGUUUAUGUUUGCUGGUAUGUCAUGGUAAAAAGGGAGUGUGCCUUUGUAAUGCUGAUGUACUCAGAUGGUUGCGCUGCUUUGGGAAACAGUGAAGAAGAGAAGGGAUUAUUCUUUUACCAAUGAGGAGUAGUAAAUACAAAGGAGAAGAAAAAAAAACCUCUAUGACAGAAAGUGAAGGAAACAGAAAAGAAAUACUUUCAAGUCCUAUGAUAAAACUACAUUCUAUUUAUUUAUUUGUUUUGCAACCAUUUCAUGUAAUGAGGUAACCCACUGAAGUCCCCACACCUUCACCUUUCAAGUUUGGUUGCUUCUCAAAUCUUAAGGUUGGAAAUGAAAAAAUAAGAUGAUGUCUUCUCUCAUCUGUAAAAGAUAUAACCUUUGUCUUGGAAAUGAAUUACUGUGUUUUUAUUAUGUUGCAUUCCUUCUAGAACAAUUUGCAGCGUGGGCUAUCUCAGCCAGAGUAUUAUUGUUGAAAGUAUAAGUAAUCGCUAUGAAAUAAUUGAAAAGACCAGUUUGUCUUCUGCAACAUUCUCUCAUCUGUUUGGUAAUAAGAUUUUUCAGAAUAAGUCUCCAAUGAUCUUGUGCAGGUUAUUUCUAGACCUGCAGAAAAUGCAUAUACCCUGGAAUCUUUUGUGUCCAGAAGUCUGUCUGAUGCAAUGCUUGAAGAAGUGACAAUUUUCUUGUGGUUCUGAACAAUGCAAUUUAUUUUUGUUUUAACCUUUAAGAACGUAGUGCCUAAAUUCUCUGUGUAUGCUUUUAUCUCUUUGGAUGAGAUUGCCUGACAUAAUUAAAUAAAGAUUGCAUUCCUAGAUUUGAGCUGUAUCUCCUUACCAACUCACACUGGCUCAAAGGCAUGGUAUGAAUUCAGUGGUUACACUGGAAGCCCAAUCUGAAGCUAUGUAACCUUUGCGUAAAACAGUUCUCAUUUUUCUGUUGCUUGCCUUUUUGGGGGGGGAAAUUGAAGAUUUAGCUCAAACAGGCAUGAAUAUAAUCUCUUAAAAUACUAAAUCUGAAAAGUUGUGUCUAAACCCCACAGACGCAGAGAUUCUUUGCCAGCAGCAUUCCCUAGGAGCUGAUGACAAUUAGAUACUGCUGCAUUUCCUGAGGAGAUGUGACUUUGGGAAAACUCAGAUCCUCAGAUAUAUGAAUGAAUGCAUAUUGAUGCUUACAGGAAAGUGUGAUAAACAUGCCAAAUAGACUUCAGCCAUGUUUUGCCCCUUCAUGGUUUGUUUUUUUUUUUGAGUGUUCUUUCUUGACAGUUAGCAGUUGAAUCUGAUUAGCAGACAGUGAAGAGUCCUCGGUAAGAAAUAAACUAUGAAGUUAAUGACCCUUAAAGGUAGAUGUUUGCCUUGAACAUGAAGCCUAGCUUUAAAAGGUCUGUAUGUUUGUAUUCCCUUAGAAAAUCCUCUGUGGUUCCUCUCUGUUGACCAUUUACUUCCUUGUGAUUCCAGUCCUCAGUGCUAGGAGUUGUAUGAUAGAUGACUGCCGGUCAUUUCCCACUGUAGCCUGCUGCCUGCUCAGCUAUUGUCCAGCUUGAUUUUUGGAAAUCUGGGCACGUAGUUUGGUUUAAUGCCUUCAAACAGGUUCAGGAGUUGGGAACCUCCACAUCUACAGAAUGUCCUGAGUGUUUUCAAUUUUUUUCCCUUGUGGAGGAAGAGGCAUUCUGUAUUUUGCUUUGAGAUCUGAUUACAAACUGUUGUUUUAACAAUCGAUGUUUUGUCUCCUUGCCUAGGCCAGUUCUGAGGUCACAGUUAAUCUUUCUUCUUCAUAGACUGGAGGCCCCACUGAAUUGGUUUGCCGAUGCCGAGUGAUUGCUCCUUAGUUCAAAUCUGUAAGGGAAAUCAGCAAUCAGUUGGAAGACAGCUGUACUGAUAAGGUUCCAUUGAUCUUUCUCUCCUGUCCACUCACUAUCAAUUAGAAGCAUCCUUUGCUUUCAUGAUACUUCUUCCCUGCCUUUGCCUUCCAUACCGCUACCCUGUGAUAUGGCUGGUCUCAAUGACGGGGCUGGCCUCAGUUGCUGAUUAUAAUUUAUGUGGCUAUAAUUAACAGCCUGAUAAAAAUGUCUGAGUCAGUACUUGAGAAGCCUAGAUAAUGAUAAUGCUUGUGGUGAGAACUCUUCAAUAACUCACUAUAUUUGAUGCAAACCAGUGGUAAAGGAUUGCUGUUUUUAACAGAAAAAAAGCAUUCAUAUCAAGGAUUACAUUUUACCCAGAGUAGCAUGAUUUAGCAGUAUCCAGAAAAUUAGAAUUUAAGAAAAUACAGAAAAUUUGUACUCCAUUUUGAGGAAAAAUGAUAUUUCCUCAUUAACAGAACUUCUGCUUAUCGUGGUGGUCAGCAGCACAGUAUAGUCUGAAACGUUGCUGUCAUUUUACAAUGUACCAGAAGCGCGUGAACAACAAAAUAUGUAUACACUUUCUCCAAAGUAACGGAGUUUUGAGAGAUCGUUAACGUAAGUUUGAGAUGGUUGGAUUAGUUUAGAAGAUCCUGGGGAUCUUGUAAGUUUUCUCAAAACUUGAGGAAAGCUGCUCCUUAUAUCCUAACUUUGAUUUAUGUAUUUGUAAAUGAAUGCAAACGCAGGUAGAGAGCCAUCAUACAUUCUUUCUAAUCCAACUACCGCGACAAUGUUUCUUAGGAAUGGUUGUUAAAUAGUGUAUUUUUCAAACCUUUAAACAGAUGCUACAAGUAUCACUGCAGACCACCACUAUGUUCUGCAUUAAAUGUUACAUUUAACAGGACAACUGUGGGUGGACCUGGGUGAUGAGAUGGGGGAAAGGAUUGUGUGGAAGGACUGGUAAGAAGGACUGAACGAGUGACAUAAAAUGGAUAUGAGUUAGUGAACCAUAGCAUAUUCUUCUAUUUUUGAAAAUCUUAGAUGAGUAAUUGUCAACUGUGCCAUCUGUAAGUAAUGUGGGCUUCCAAAUUUGUGGCAAUUAAAACUGCCUAGCAUCCCACUCCAGCCCUGUAUUUUAUUAUGUGUACAAGUCAAUACUGAAGGCUAAUCUCUUAUGACAUUAAUCGCCUCAUGAGGAGAGAUGGAAUAAAUCACAGUAGCCCUUCCUCUCUUCACUCAUGAAGAUAAAUGCUAUAACAUGAUGGCUGAUCUUUGUUAUGACACUAACCAUUAUAUAUUUAGCAGAGAUAGCAAAAUCCCACUGACAGCUAACAAAAGAAUUCUCUCUUUACAUGUUCUAUGAGAAGGCUGUAUUUCUUUAGUUCAGAAACAUGACUUAUCAUAUCUGCUCUCAGAGCAAUUUAAGCAGUAGAUCUGGGUUGUGCCAGUGAACUAAAUUCUUUAUGUGGUGAUGUCAUGAUUCCAAAUAAUAAAAACUCAUGUGAAAUCAUUGUGCAGCGCUGGGGGAAGAAUGCAUGUAAUGGACGAGGACUGUUCAGAUGCUACUGUUUUGUAUUGCCAAUGCUGAAGAGAAAGUAUAAUUCCUAUUAAAACAAAACAAAAACAACCAAACAAUAAAGAAAACAACAACAGCAGCGAAAAACAGCCCUCCCCACCAACUGAACUGCGGAGCUUUCAGGUUUGUGGAGGUUCUGUUUUUUCUUUUGCUGCCAGUACUUGAACAGGUGGGCUCAGAGAACUGAAAGUGACUGGUUUUUCUUUCUGUAAUUGCAAGGGAUUUUUUUUUUCCUUUUUUUUUUUCUGGCUCUCUCAUUUGCUGCAUGCCUUUCAGGAAUUUCUUUCCAUGUUUUCCAUGUGUUAGACACAGUCUGGUCUUUCUUUCGGGGAUAAAGUUACUAAGAAAGACUCUUAGUCAUUUUCUGCAUCUCCGCUUACUUAUUAAUUUGAAGAGAGCAGUGCUGUAUAUCAUUCUGUAAGGGAGAAACAGAGCAAACAGCUGAGUUGUGAAGUUUAUGGACUUUCCCUGUGAGGUUAAGAGGAUCAAUGGCUCUUAUAUUGUCUUUUCACAUAAGCAUCAAAACGUGCUGCAGGUUUCACGAGGUAGUUUCUUGCCAUUUAUCUUAUAGAAUUAAAAUGGAAGUAAAAAUGUAACAGUUUUAUUUACGCGGUCAUUGUCAUCAGCCAUAUUUUAUUAGCAUGAAGAGAAGUGCUUCUAGGCUGCUUAAAUGUAUUCAUGGUACAUCAAUGGAGUCAGUGUCAGCUGCAGCAUGAAGCGUAUCUUAUCUUUUUAGUAGGUGAUUUUCACCUGGAUAAAAUACUUAAAAUGGCCAAAGCUGAUAGGUAGGAAUAUUUAGCUGAAGUGCAUAGUUAAAAUGGUUGAUUUGUAUUCUGCUAUGAUUCCAGACUUGUUAUUUUUAUUUUUCUCCUUUUUUUUUUUUUUUCUUCACCUUCUGGAAAUGUUGGAUCUGUAUCUUUAGGACACUGUCGAACAAGAUAAGCUCUGGUAAUAAAGCAAUGGCAACAAAACCGGCGUAACUGUCACCUCUUGUUAAAUCUGCUGCGUUCAGAGAGUAGCCAGUAGGAAUUUUAUUUCUCACAUUAAAAGUAACUCUUACACAUUACAUUUGCCUGAGGAAAUUAAGCAAUGAAGGCUUUUAAAACUAGCACAUCCACAUUUUGUCUAUUGAUUUUUAUGGGAAGUUUUACUCUUCUUAUUUUUUUUUUAUCUUUCUGUGCUGAACCAUUGGUCAUGCAGCAGUGCUUUUGUCAGUAUGUCCAAAAAAAAAAAAAAAAAAAAAAGGGAUAUCAGCAUUCAAUAAAGCAAACAGUGUAUACAGUGUAUAGAGAAGUAACUAUGGUUGUGGUGAUGAGCACGUUCACAUUGCUGGUAGUUCUUUCUUCUGUUAUCUGUAGCAUAAAAGCAGCUGACAGGAAACUCGUAUCCAUUCCACCCCAUUAGUCCCAGUCACCUAAGCAUGGCCUCUCUUCAUUUUGUACAGGGGGAAGAACCAAAGGGGAAUUUUUAUCCCUCCUGGAAUGAGAAGCAUUUCAGGACUGUGGCCUGUUUGAUCACUGAACUAGUGUAGAUUUCAGUACAUUUUGGGGUGAUUGAGCUGGUUUUUGCUCCUGGCCCCUUCUCUGGAAUAACGAUUCAUUACUGUAAACAGCUUUGACCCAUGUUUUUCAGCUGACUGCACUGAUGCUGAAAUUGAAACUUCUACACUAAUUUUCUAAACUUAAUAGAUGGAGAUUAUAUCCUACCAGCUGUGGAAGGUUCACAAUGCAAUUUGUCCUGUCAGUAUCUCACAGCUACAAUGUGCUGCUGGCUUGCUGCUAAGCACAUGCACAUUUGGGCUACCUUGGCUGCGUACCUGUGUUUGGUUUUGGGGAGCCCACAGCAGUGAAACAUAUCUGUAUUAACGUGCUAAUGCAUCAGAAUGCAGAGAACAUAGGGAUGUACUGUGAGAGUGUACUAUGGUAAAGAACAAGGAAGAAAGUUUUUUGUUUGUUUGUUUGUUUGUUUUAGUAGGGAUGCGGAAAGGUUGCAGGUAUUGCCAUAGCUCAAAAGGCAAGAGUAUCACUGUGUGUGCUGAGAAAGGCUGAGCAGAGAGAGGCAGUGGGGUGCUGUGAUAUAAAGUAAGAAGAGGUAAGGCUUGCAUGGCUAAGCAGAAGUCUUCAGGGGCUGUACUGCACCAUCAGAGUUGUGCAUUCUGAGAGUUUGAAGGCUUCACUGCUUGGACUGAAAUUAUUGCUAGUAGUUCUCCUAAUAGUAGUGGAACCCAUUCUAGGGUAGGAAGUUUGAUAUGGUGCUCACUGGGAUAUGUAUCUUUGAUCCUCAUCUCACACCUCUUGUUGAUAGAAUCCUGCAUACUGACUGAGUUCAUCCUGUUAGAGUUAUGGAGGUGUUCAUUGACCUAUGCCAACAAAUCCUUUAAAUGAAAGUUCCUGGUUGCUCAGGCAGACUGAUUACAUCAGUAGGGAGAGAAAUAUGAAGGCCUCCUUUUCUUUCAUUAUAUUAGACCAGAUCUGUGAGUUGUUAGAGAAUGCCAGUUGUUGAGGAUUGAAAACUUUACAUCCAUUUUCUAGUGUGAUGGAUGAGACUGCUGACGAUGCCAAGAUGUCUUUGCUGAUAGAACUUUGGCUUUUAAAAGUAACAACAUGAUUAUAUUUUUAAUUUUAAAUGAUUUGUAAUCCAGUUUCUCUUGAAUUCAAAAUGUCAAGUGUAUGGUUUCUUUGGAAUUUCCAAAGCAGCAUUGCUGCCUUUCUAUCAGUUUAAAGUGUGAAGUUGUAAACGGAUAAAUAAAACCAAUAAAAGGGUUCAGAAGUCUCAGAGCAAGCUUCAGACAAGCUGGUCAAAGAAAUUGAGUGAAAUCAUAAAAAAAAAAAAAAGAAAAAGAAAGAAAAAAAAAGCAAAUCGUUCAGCUUCUUUCUGUCUCUUUUCUUUCAGUAUUUUAGGAGAUGAUAUUGCCUUGUGUAUCUGGCAGGUUAGAAAACGUAGGCUAUUUCAGACCAACUUGCAAACAAUUCUACGUUAGUUCACGCUAAAGGAACUGUGCUAAAAUGCUUUUGAUUGGAAGAGGGCUGGGGAAUAUGGAUUCAAGGCAUGCUUUAACCGUUUGAGCUUUCAAUGUCAGUAGCGUUACCUUGGAACCUAAAAUAAGUGUGGAUUAGUAAGCGAGUACAGAAGUGAUGCUAAAGCUUCAUUUAAUGUAUUGCAGCAAAUUUAGGUGUUUUCACAUGGUUUUCUUGCUCUUUUUACAUCUUUAUUCCUUUCCUUGCUUGAUCUUGCUUUUCUUUCUGAUGUAAUGAAGUACAAGUUACAAAGACAAAUGCAUAGAAUAGAGCAUAUCAUGAAAGACAUCCCUGAUGAAGUGCAACUACCUCCGCUCAAAUUUUGUAACUUCCUUACAGUAACAGGGCUUGCAUAAAGACAUAAGGCCUGUGGGGAGAGUUAUUACUCCCAUUUCAGCUUCUUCUAAUAUUUUAGUACUUGGAAAUUACCCUUUACCUUUCUCUUAAUCACCAUCAGCAAGAGCUCCGUGAACAUCUGUUUGAGAAAUGUUAAAAUAGCUUGUAGUGUAUCUUCCCUUAUUAUUCCUUCUUUCCUCUUCACAUCUUGUAUACCCUUUCUCCUCCCAGUCUUUCUGUUUUCUUUUCCUCAUCCAUCUCUAUCCAAUUCCUUUCUUCUCUAGCUCUACAUCCUACCCGUACCCUCUCCUCUCCUAACCAUUUACCCAUCUUUCUUCCCACAAAGGGCUUUGAACUUUUACCAGGCUGCCCAUAAUUCCCCAAUGAGUAAAGCCGUUAAUCAAAAAUGAGUACAAAAGAUUUGAGUGGGGCAUUUCCCACAAUAGAAGUCAGUCCUCCUGUUAACCUCACACAAGCAGCUGAAAAAGACAAUGCUGGAUUUAUUCCAGGAUGCUGUUCUUGUACCCUGUUUGGAACUCCAUCUUUCAAUUCAUUAACUUAGGAAUGGGUGUCUAGAAAAGAUGAUGCAUAUUCUGCUUAGUAGAAGGAAAGAUAUUCUUCUGUUCUUCUCUUGUUAGGCAGUAAAGAAUGUCUGUUGUGCAGUUUAGCCUUACUUGUAUUAUAGCUGCUGAGUGGGAGCUCUGGCAAUAACUGUACUAUUCCUUUUUCUCCUCCUGAAUUAUUUAAAUAACGUUCUAAAGAGAACUGCUCCGGUUUGUGCGUAGUGGCUCAGCAUAUUGUUGGACUAAGCAGACGUGAUAAAAUGAUUCUGAGUUUUGUCAGCAGUCUGACCUUCAGAGCCCUGUGGGCAGCUUGCAGAAAAAGGCUUGGCUCAGGCUCACUUACUGUACUUGACGAUCAGCAUCACCAAGACCACUGGACCAAGCUGCUGCUAUUGGACCACAGCACAGUUUCAGUCUACACUAGGUUUGUCUUUAGAAGCAUCGUUUUAUAUCAGCGUCAUAACUCCUAGAUGCAGGAGUAAUGGCUGCUUCUCUGGCAAAGCUUCUUACUUUUUGCAGGACAAUGUGAGUGGCAAGCUUUACUUUCUAGUUUUCCUUUCUUCAUGCUGUUCCUCUGCUUGUGUUCCCUCUAGUGGCGG